CCUCCUUUGGUUCAUAGGAUAAAAAAUCACAAUAAUAGAAAAGUCAUAGAAAAUGAGAUGACAUGCAUCUGAAAUCGUAUGAAUAGGAAUAUGAAAGAAGAUGUCCUUUGGUUCACAUCAUUGCAUUUUUAUCAUUGAGUCUAGACUAAUGUUUAUUUUCCUAUGAAAUACGGAGGAUAGUAAAAAUUUCUCUAUAGAAAUAGGAUUCUAUUCCUAUAAGAAUUGCUCUAAAGGAUUUUUUUUUUCUAUGCAAAUACUAUCCUGUGAGAUUACCACAAAAUUCCUUCAAACCAAAGGAGGUCUUAAUAGUUAGUCUGGUGGAUGGGCUACUAGCCCAGUGGUAGGCGCGAGGGAGGCGUGAGGGAGGCAAUGGCGAUCGGGGAGGCGGCAACGCUGUCAUCCUACACGGUAGGCGGGCCUUGGUGGCGCAGGAUGCGGUCUCACAGGCGUUGCUGAAUGCUGGCCCCGGCCGCCGCGGCUACUGGGGUCGGUGGAGAAGAUCCUUCUUCAACGCGCACAUGCAGGAGCUCCGGCGCCUCUUCCUCGCGCACUUGCUCCUCGCCGCCACGCGCCUUCUCCCGCGUAUUUUCUGCAUAUCGGCAACAAAAAGUUGUAAAAAAAAUGACUAUGGGACAAAAGCUAUCCUCUUCCUCGCUAUAUGGACAUGAAUAAGAAGAUACGCGGCCACUGCAGUGGACACGCUGUUCCUCGCGCAAUUGUGUGCGCCUUCAUGGCGACAUAUUGGCCACUGCAUCCUCUUCCUCGCGCAAUGUUUGGUUUACAUCACGGAGACUAUUUAGUUCUCCAUUUUCCCCUUUUAAUGGCAAUUUCAUAGCAUGGCAAAACCUGGGCUUUCUUUACAGCUCAAACUAUGCUUUUUAGUCACAGUACAAACUGGAUCAUACUCGGCUUUUCGUCACAGAAGAGGCCUAUACGGUAGUGAUGCUGUUGUGUUCACGCUGGGUGGAGCGAUCUCCUAUGCCGCGCUAUAAGCGCCGCGGAAGCAAACUGGCGCUCACAUGCAACACCUAGUGGGUCGGCCCAUGAACGCUCUGUGCACCAAAGCAUGUAGCACGAAUACCCACCAAAUAAUGAAUAUGUCGCGAGGAAUCAAACUUAUGCCGUUUGGCUACCACUGUAACAUCUCAGAGAUAAUGACUGCUUGUAACGUGCAUGCUUUAAGAACAUUUGUAGCGGCACUAUUUGAAUCAAAUUCGCAUAUUCAAAAAAGCUCAUUAGAAUUAGAAAAAGUUCACUAAUUUGAGAAAAACAGUACAAGAAUUAAAAAAAUUAUAGUUAGUUUAAAAAACUUUCAUUGAUUUUGAAAAACUAUAAUGAGUUUGAAAAAAGUUCAUCAAUUUGAAAAAAGUUCAAAACUUUGAUAAAAAGUUCAUCUAUUUUGAAAAAAAUUCAUCUAAUUUAAGAAUGUUAAUCGAUUUAGAAAAAAAGUUCACCAGUUUUGAAAAUAGUUCACCAAUUUUGGAAAAAAAAUCUUCAAAUUGAAAAAAGUUCAUACAAUUUAAAAAUUAGUUCAUCAAUUUUGGAAAAAAGAAUUUUUUAUUUUUGAAAAAAAUUCUUCGAUUUUGAAAAAAUGUUCAUUGAUUUUGCAAAAAGUUCAUCAAUUUUAAAAAACAUUCAUCAGUUCUGGAAAAAAUAUUUCAUCUAAUUGAAGAAGAAAUUCAUCGAUUUCGAAAAAUAGUUCACAAAAAACUAAAAAAGUUCAUCAAAUUUGAAAAAUAAUUGUGUAAUUUGAAAAAAAAUAAGUUCACAAAUUUAAAUAAAGUUCAUCGAUUUUGAUUUUUUUUACAAAUUUGAAAACAAGACCGGUUAUUUAAGAAAACAAAAAGGGAAAAGUAAAUAAAAACUUCCAGAAAAUGACCAGCGAACUUGAAAAGAAAACCCUGUGAACUGAAGAAAGAAAUAAAAAGGAAAGAAAAAAGAUAGUGUGCACGAGCGGGUGAAUAGCCUAAAGGUUGUUGUUGUAUCCUUAGAACGCUGAGGUUGUGAGUUAACCAGGAUGCCCACACUUUUUGGUUUUAACAGAGGAAAAAGAGGCAAACCAAUAUCUGGUGACUUCGUAAAUCUCAAGAUGAUAUGCCAGCUCAGUCUCUCGGAGGUGCUCAUAGGGAUAGGGUCUGCGUGUGUGCGUUCAUAAGGGUGAGUGUAUACGCGUAUGUAUGAGUGCUUGCGUCUGUACUGUAUUAAAAAAACAGAGAGAAAAGAUAAGUUAUAUGCGCUGGCUGGCCCAACAUGGAGCGACGGGUGGGCGCCGUUUUAGAGUUUGUACCGUAACCGGCGCCUCAAGCAACUGAGGAAGUGGCGUGAGUGGAGUGUGUGUGUGUGUGUGUGUGUGUGUGUGUGUGUGGUGUGGGGUGUGUGGGGGGGGGGAGGAGAGGGGCGUUAGGGCUAGGGCUCCUCUCAUCCCAAACGAGUUCUUCUAUCGAUGCCACCUCGGUAGCGAACGAAUCGUUUGAUCUAGGGAGCUCCCAGACCGAUCAUUCGGCCGUUAUCAGCGCCCUUUCUUUAAUAGUUAGCCUGGCUUGAUCUGGGCCAUCCUGCAAGCACAUGGCUGACUAAUUUGUCUUGAUCUACCAUAUAGCAUGGUGCACCAUGAAACGCUCCAUGAAAUUCAUUCCAAGAAAUUAGAUGGAGUAAUUUUUAAGGUGGAUUUUGAAAAAGCGUACGAUAAGGUUAAGUGGUCAUUCCUCCAACAGGCACUGCGUAUGAAAGGUUUCGAUGAUGCCUGGCGCAGACAGGUUGACUCAUUUACGCAAAAAGGGAGUGUGGGAAUUAAAGUGAAUGACGACAUAGGUCAUUAUUUCCAGACACAUAAAGGCCUAAGACAAGGAGAUCCGAUGUCUCCUAUCCUGUUUAACAUUGUGGUGGAUAUGUUAGCAAUUUUGAUAGGAAGGGCGAAGGAGAAUGGUCAAGUCGGUGGGUUGGUACCUCAUCUUGUUGAGGGAGGUGUUUCCAUCCUUCAGUACGCCGAUGAUACGAUCAUCUUUAUGGAGCAUGAUUUGGCCAAAGCAAGAAAUAUGAAGCUAGUGUUAUGCCUGUUUGAACAAUUGACUGGGUUAAAGAUUAACUUUCAUAAGAGCGAGUUGUUCUGUUUUGGUAGAGCCAAAGACGACCACGAAUCUUAUAGGCAAUUGUUUGGGUGCGAGUUGGGGAGUUUACCCUUCUCUUACCUAGGUAUUCCGAUACACCAUCGUCGGCUAACAAACAGCGAAUGGAAAUGCAUCGAGGAUCGAUUUGAGAAAAAACUGAGCUAUUGGAAGGGUAAGCUCAUGUCAUACGGAUGCCGUUUGAUAUUGAUUAAUUCGGUGCUCAGGAGUAUGCCUAUGUUUCUCUUAUUUUUCUUUGAGGUCCCAGUUGGUGUUAGGAAACGACUGGACUUCUAUCGGUCGCGUUUCUUUUGGCAGGGUGAUGAACUUAAAAGAAAAUACCGGCUUGCUAGAUGGGACAUCAUCUGUAGACCGAAGGACCAAGGGGGUCUCGGCAUUGAAAAUCUUGAAGUUAAGAACAGAUGCCUUCUUAGUAAGUGGUUGUGGAAGCUGUCUUCCGGGACUGAGGCCAUGUGGGCGCAGAUCCUCCGCAACAAGUACCUCCAGACUAAGACAUUAUCCCAGGUCGCAGUCAGGCCGACUGAUUCACCUUUCUGGAAAGGACUAAUGAAAGUCAAACAAUCUUUGUUUAAUAGGACGAGAUUUGUUAUUGGAAACGGUAUAAGUACACGUUUCUGGGAGGAUACUUGGCUUGGUGAAUCACCUUUAGCCAUUCAAUAUCCGUCUUUAUAUCGGAUUGCUCAACGACGGGACGUGUUCGUGGCAACGGUAUUCCAGUCUGCCCCCCUUAAUGUUCAGUUUCGACGGUCGCUAGCGGGCAAUCGAUGGGAACAAUGGCUCCAUCUAGUUAGGAGACUGAUGGAGGUUCAACUUUCUCACCAUCCUGAUAUAUUGCGCUGGAAGUUGACUAGCUCUGGAGUAUUUACAGUUAAAUCAAUGUAUAUUGAUGUUAUUAAUUCGUAUGCUAUUCCAACUUCCAAGUAUGUUUGGGCUAUCAAAGUUCCUUUAAAAAUUAAAGUGUUUAUGUGGUUUGUCCAUAAACAAGUUAUUUUAACAAAGGACAACUUGAUUAAACGCAAUUGAACAGGACCUACUAGGUGUAGUUUCUGUGAUCGGGAUGAGACGAUUAAACAUUUAUUCUUUGAUUGCCCGUUGGCCAAAGUCCUUUGGCAGACGGUCCAUAUUGCUUUUAAUAUUACUCCACCGACUUCGGUCAAUGCUUUAUUUGGGACAUGGCUUAAUGGGGUUAAGCCUGAAAUAGCAAGACAUAUUCGGGUUGGAGUUUCCACUUUGUUAUGGACUAUCUGGAAUUGCAGAAAUGAUUUGGUUUUUAACAGAACAUCACGUCAUUUUUUGCAGGUUAUUUUCCGAGCUACGGCACUGAUCCGUUCGUGGUCGCUACUCACUCCGAUGGAGGCCAGGGAGCAUUUGGUUACUGGAUCUACCCGCUGGGAGAUGGUAGCUCGGGAUAUCUUCAACCGGUUUGGAUGGCGGUCAUGUAAUAGGAUAGGCAAUUAGUUUCCCUAUCUAUUUUUAGCCAGCCGGUUGUGGCAUCUUUUUUCGGGCUAGCUUGUGUAUCUAGCCGGCGGUCGCUCUGGGUGAGCUGCAUUUAUCUUUUGCUUGUUGUUUGGCUGGAGACUUUUGGAACCUUGUGGACACCUUUGUUAAUAAGAUGGCCGUAUUCAACUUUCUGAUGCAGAGGCCGGGGAGAUCUCCUUUUCGAAAGAAAAUAUAGCAUGGUGUACAACAAGAUAUUAGGAAGCUCAGAAAGGAAGGAUGAAUCUCCCGCAAAAAAAAGGAAGGAUGAAUAGAUAGGGGUAGAACAAAAUUAAUCAAGACGAAAUCAAAACACACUAUAUAUUCAGUAGGGUGUUGAUAGAUAGCAAAAGGCCAUCCAUCCAUCUAUAGGAAUUAAAAGAGAGAAGAAAGCCACAUGUAUAUAAACAUAUCUACAUACAUACAUACAUACAUACAUACAUACCACGUACGGCAGCGAAGUAUAAUGAACAAGCUAGUGCUGUAGAACCCACCCGCCGGCCGGUGAGCAGAGAUGGGUGGGAUCUGGAUCAGCGCGGCGCUCCUGAGGUUUGAGGAAGACGAUGACGACCCAGCGUCAACGCUGUGAUGGUGGGGCGCAGAUUAGUG
Molecule: long non-coding RNA, 5210 nt
Filed under: Triticum aestivum (bread wheat)
Lineage: Eukaryota; Viridiplantae; Streptophyta; Magnoliopsida; Poales; Poaceae
Description: long non-coding RNA (TAES_LNC009641)
Source: RNAcentral